UGGAACGUAGCUUAAUGGUAGAGCGGCUGCAUUAAUCAGGAAUUGACUGAAGAAGUCAAUAGCGAUGGUUCGAAUCCAUCCGUUCCGA
Molecule: transfer RNA, 88 nt
Filed under: Blautia luti
Lineage: Bacteria; Bacillati; Bacillota; Clostridia; Lachnospirales; Lachnospiraceae
Rfam family: tRNA
About the family: Transfer RNA (tRNA) molecules are approximately 80 nucleotides in length. Their secondary structure includes four short double-helical elements and three loops (D, anti-codon, and T loops).
Source: Rfam by way of RNAcentral